CGCGAGCGCUGGAGGCCGCGCUGCGGCUGAAACGAUCCGUGAAUAAAUAAACGAUGGGAACGGCCUUUCAGUCGCGUCGGGGUUUCCAUCGCCACAGACGGCGCGUGUGCGGCACGCGGCGCCACACUCAACAUGGCGGGCGAGCGGCGCCGCGCACGCCGCGGACCCUCUCGGAGGCCCCCUGAUGGCCACACAGCGGGGUGCCCGAGGCGCUGCCUGCGCCACACACCAGAAGACAAAGGGGCGCGCCGCGACCGCACUCGGCUCAGCGCGGCCCCGGUGUGCGGGCGAGCGCGGGGCGGGGCGGGCUGAGGAUCCCCAUUUUUCCCGCCCGGUUCGGCCGGUGGUGGGGCGGAGCAGCGGGACGGGCGGCGCGAGGGCAGCCACGGCGGCCGGCCGAGCGCGGCGGGCGGCGAGCGGAGCUGCAUAAGAUGGCGGCGGCGGGAGCUGAGGCGGCGGCCGAGGAGGAGAAGCGGCUGCCGGAGGGAGACCCCGAGUCGGGCGGGGACUCGGACGAUGAGGGCGACUCGGACUCGUCUGGGGACGGCGAGGAUGAGGAGAAGGAGAACGAGGCCGAGAUCCAGCGGCUGGAGGAGCAGCUCUCCAUCAAUGCUUUUGACUACAACUGUCACUUGGAUCUGAUCAAGCUGCUCCGGCAGGAGGGAGAGCUGGUGAAGCUCCGCAGGGCUCGGCAGAAGAUGAGCGAGCUCUUCCCCCUCACUGAAGAAAUUUGGCUGGACUGGCUGAAGGAUGAGAUAAAAAUGGCUUCAGAGAUAUCUGAGAGAGAGAAGGUUUAUGAGCUGUUUGAAAGAGCUGUCAAAGAUUACAUCUGUCCUGAGAUUUGGCUGGAAUAUGCCCAGUAUUCCAUUGGAGGCAUUGGGCAGGAAGGAGGCAUCGAGAGGGUUCGCUCCAUCUUCGAGCGGGCCCUGACGGCCGUGGGGCUGCACGUCACCAAGGGCACGGCCCUGUGGGAAGCCUACAGGGAAUUUGAGAAUGCCAUCCUGGAAACAGCACAGCCAGCUCCUGGCAGCAUUCCAUCCCCGGAGCAGCAGCAGGUGCUGUGCAGCCAGCUCGAGAAGAUCCACACGCUCUUCCGGCGCCAGCUGGGGAUCCCACUGCUGGACAUGGAGGCUUCAUAUGCUGAAUAUGAAGAGUGGUCAGAAGAGCCCAUUCCAGAAACAACAAUAAAGAACUACAAAAAAGCUCUACAGCAGCUGGAGAAGUGUAAACCCUACGAGGAGGCACUGCUGGGUGCUGAAACCCCAAAGCUGGCAGAAUACCAAGCUUACAUUGAUUUUGAAAUGAAAGCAGGUGACCCAGCUCGGAUUCAGUUGAUCUAUGAGAGAGCUUUGGCUGAGAACUGCCUUGUCCCAGACCUCUGGGCACGCUACAACCAGUAUUUGGACAGGCAGCUGAAGGUGAAGGAAUUGGUUUUAUCUGCUCAUGACCGCGCUGUCAGGAACUGCCCCUGGACUGUUGGGCUGUGGAUUAGGUACCUGCUGGCCAUGGAGAGGCACAGAGUUGAGCACAGCAUCAUUUCUGAAAUGUUUGAAAAAGCUCUGAAUGCAGGUUUUAUUCAAGCAACAGACUAUGUAGAGAUCUGGCAGGCCUACCUGGAUUACCUGAGGAGAAGGGUGGAUUUUACACAAGACUCCAGUAAGGAGCUGGAGGAGCUGCGCUCUGCGUUUGCACGAGCUGUGGAGUACUUGAAACAAGAAGUAGAAGAAAGGUUCAGUGAAAGUGGAGAUCCAUCCUGCACCAUCAUGCAGAACUGGGCAAGAGUUGAGGCCCGCUUGUGUAACAACAUGCAGAAAGCCAGGGAGCUCUGGGACAACAUCAUGACUAAAGGAAAUGCCAAGUAUGCCAACAUGUGGCUGGAAUAUUACAACCUGGAAAGGGCCCAUGGGGACACCCAGCACUGCAGGAAGGCCCUGCACCGGGCAGUGCAGUGCACCAGCGACUACCCCGAGCACGUCUGCGAGGUGCUGCUCACCCUGGAGAGGAUAGAAGGAACACUGGAAGACUGGGAUGCAGCUGUUCAGAAAACUGAGAACAGAUUGGCUCGAGUGAAUGAACAAAGAGCAAAGGCUGCUGAGAAAGAAGCUGCUCUGGCAAAGCAGGAGGAGGAGAGAGCUGAGCAGAGAAAGCAAGCAAGGGCAGAGAAGAAAGCUUCCAAAAAAGCCAAAAAAACCAGGACUGGGGACAAGCGCAAAGCAGACGAGGAUGACGAGGGUGAAUGGGGACAAGAAGAAGAGCUGCCCAGCAAGAGGUACAGGGGAGAGGGUGAUGGAGUGCUCCCUGAAGAGGACAUGGAAGUGGAGACUGGGCUCUUGGGGAGCAGUGAGAAGCCAGAUGGCCCCGCAGCCCCAAAGGAAAAGGCGUCCACCAGCCGCAAGGACGCGCCCAAAGUUCUCCACGACAGCAGCAAGGAUAAAGUCACUGUGUUUGUCAGCAACCUCUCCUACACCAUGGCAGAGCCCGAGGCAAAGCUGAGGGAGCUUUUUGGGAGCUGUGGGGAGGUCGUGGAGAUCCGAGCAGUGUUCAACAACAAGGGCACCUUCCGGGGCUACUGCUACGUGCAGUUCAGGGAGGAGGAGGCUGCUCGGCAGGCCCUGGCCUUGGAUCGCACGGCCGUGGAGGGCAGGCCCAUGUUUGUGUCUCCUUGUGUUGACAAGAACAAGAAUCCUGACUUUAAGGUGUUCAGGUACAGCACUACCCUGGAGAAACAUAAACUCUUUAUAUCUGGUUUGCCAUUUUCCUGCACUAAGGAGGAGCUGGAGGAGGUGUGUAAAGCCCAUGGGAAUGUGAAGGACAUUCGACUGGUCACCAACAGAGCUGGAAAACCCAAGGGCCUGGCUUAUGUGGAAUAUGAGAAUGAAGCCCAGGCCUCUCAGGCUGUGCUGAAGAUGGAUGGGCUGACAGUGAAGGACCACGUCAUCAAGGUGAUGAUCAGCAACCCCCCGCUGCGGAAGCUUCCGGAGCGGCCCGAGCCCGGCAGGGCCUCCCUGCCCCUGGUACCACGGCACAUCUAUGGAGCGCGAGGGAAGGGAAGGACACAGCUCUCCAUGAUGCCCCGGGCUCUGCAGCGUCAGAGCAACCCCGUGGCCAAGGCUGAGAAUGGGAUGGUCCAGAACUCACCAGCAGCGUCCUCUGACCCCCCUGCAGAACCCAAAAAGAUGUCCAAUGCUGAUUUUGCCAAGAUGCUCCUGAAAAAGUGAGCAGGGAGUGUGCACUCAGCGGGUCUGGUCCAAUGUGAAAUGCCUUUCUGGAAGCCAUGUUGUGUCCUUAAGCUUUGCAAGGAGAGAACGCCCGUCCCAAUCCCGUGUAAAUACUGGACUGCUGCAUUCCUCGGGAUCAGUGGAGGAUGGCACAAAUCCAGAGCUCUAAAGUGCAUUAUUUAUACUCAGGUUGCACUACAAAAAUAACAUGCUUUGUAAGGACAGGACACCUUUCCUCCUGUAUUGUCUGCUUUCCCUGGCAGCAGUGCUCAGAGAACUCCCAGUCUCAUCCUGGUUUCUGCUUCUCUAAAACAUGUCCUAAGCUCCCUGUCAGGUAAGAGAGAGUUAAAAGGGAAGAAAACUAAGCCUAGGACAACCUGGCAGCUUUUGUCAAGAGGUUAAAUGCUCUAAACUGGGAUUUUAAAUUGAAGUUUUGUGAGCUUGGAGGUGGUGGGGUCAGUGAUGCUGUUACAGACCUGGCAGGUUUGGGGUAGGGAGAUCUGUGGGUACUUUUACCUUAAAAACCAAGGCAAAAGUGAUUCUUUGAACUGCUCAGCAGCUCCAGGCACUGCACUGCCCCUGCAGCACACAGAGGCCUCGAGUGAUUCUUGACACAUUUAUCAGAGCAAUGACAUGACCAGUGAUUAAUUUUGGAAGUUCCCUUACCCAGACUAAAAAAACUGAAGUUUUUGGCGAACUUCCUGUAUGCAUUCUUUCCAAACUGGCACAACUGGUGUCUCCUGGCUCUGCCUGAUUUUUUUCUGCCCACAGUUCUGCAGACAAGCUCCUUCCAACCCUCCACUGAAAUGUCUAAGGACAGUUGUUCUUUCCCAGGGUUCCUCUUGGCUGAGGUUUUCUGAGCCCUCCCUCAAGUAAGUCAGAGCUUUUCUCCUCUUGUUCCACUCCUAUCACCUGUAAUCCCAAACCAAACACUUCCCACUUGUACAAAACUCACCCCAGGAAAGGCAGCUGAAAGUAAACAUGCAAAGUGCCACAGAAACAGAAAUGGGAGGGGAAGAGAUGCCUUUGGGCUGGAGUUCAGCCUCCUUCCUGCUCAGUACCUGUGUGACUGACACCAAAGUGUGGUGGACACAGCUGGGAGAGUGCUGUUCCUUCAGGGAUGUGUUUUGGAGCUACAGGGAAGAGGCCACACAGAAUCAGCUCAGUUUAGACUUCGCUGAGGUCAGACAGUAGAGAGACUGCCUGGGUGCAGGGUUGUGAUUGAAGCAGCUCCUCAAAGCUUAAUUUUAAGGAGAAAUUCAAUUUCAGUUCAUUUUUUUGAGCCCUCUGACAUCUCUCCCCACCUCCUUCCAGUGCACAGCCACCAUCCCCAGUUCCGUUUGGCAUCAUGUAUAUAAAUAAAUUAUAUUAAUUUAAUCAAACUUAAAUAAACAAAACA
This is an RNA transcript of Pyrgilauda ruficollis (rufous-necked snowfinch), 4617 nucleotides long. The record is from RefSeq and is a predicted model, not a curated record. NCBI's taxonomy places the organism in Eukaryota, Metazoa, Chordata, Aves, Passeriformes, Passeridae.